UUACGGCCACAUCAUGUUGAAACACCGAUUCUGGUAAGACUAUGGCAGUUAAGCAACUUCGAACCUGGAUAGUAUUUAGAUGGGUCACCGCGUUGGAAUAGCAGGUGUUGCAAGC
Non-coding RNA from Acanthosepion pharaonis, 115 nucleotides. The record is from the annotation of a GenBank genome assembly. NCBI's taxonomy places the organism in Eukaryota, Metazoa, Mollusca, Cephalopoda, Sepiida, Sepiidae.